GGGGGUGAAUUAGGUUCGACACAGGUGAUUGUGGCAGUGUAAGCGAGCCGAGGUCCCAUACCUCGCUAAACAGUGGGAACCUAAAUUAAACGCAAACGAUAAUUAUACUCUAGCUGCUGCGUAAAGCAGCUACACUCUCCACUGCUGUGCCUGCCGGCGGCGGACAGAGUGUCACACAGUAGGCUACCUUUUUGGGGACGCCCAUAGCUAAAAAGGGAAACCUGAUGGGCUAGUCAUUGCCUAAUCCUGCUCUUGGGGCUGGGCAAGGGCGAAUGUGAAACAAGAGCUAUGCUCGUAGAAAGCAUUGUGGCUACACUUGUGGACAGCGGUGCAACUCCGCUCACCUCCACCA
This 352-nucleotide transfer-messenger RNA is filed under the name Limnochordia. RNAcentral's name for it is "JAAZMF01 sp012519025 Standard tmRNA". It matches the Rfam family "transfer-messenger RNA". From Rfam's summary of the family: Bacterial tmRNA, also known as 10Sa RNA or SsrA, is named for its dual tRNA and mRNA-like properties. The record is from RNAcentral. Lineage: Bacteria; Bacillati; Bacillota. RNAcentral also lists the same sequence under 1 other name.